AAUUAUAUACCAUAUAUAAAAUAUUUUGUGAUGUAUUUAGAACAUCCCAAAAAUAAAUAUUACAUUGGACUUAAAAAUCUCAUUUAACUCCUAAGGGUCCUAUCCCAAACCGAAGGUACAGUGCAUCAAUCACACUGUCCCAUUGUUUUUCCAACGAUAAGUACAGCAUAAUUUUUAUUCAAAAUGAUACAGUCACGUCGUAAUUCAAGCACCAUACGUUCCACAGGGACACCAAAUAUACCAAACGAAAAUUGCGUAAACGAAAAUUCACGUAUGAUAGUCUUUGAAAUGAUAAACACCAGGAGGAUUACUUUCCAUGAAAAGGAGGUGUUUCUUUUUUUUUGGUUUAUGUGGUCCUUUCUCCUCUUCCAAAAUGGAGAAACUAUGAAAAACGUGUAGAACUCGAUUUCGCCCAUCCAUUUUCACUUUCUAUUAAAGGAAAAAUCUUUUAUUAGGUAAUUAAAAGUAGGAAAAAGAUUGUUUGGAAUAACCAACUAUUGAAUUAAUUUCUCUUACAUGCCCUUUUUCUUUGGUCCCUUUUUUUUUUUUUUUUGUCGUCUCUUGAGACCAAAAUAACUUUAUAAGGAGCUUCAUUGUUUAUCAAAAUGCUCACAACAUCAGAAAGAGAGAAGAGCAAAAAUGGAGAAGGAAACUAUUGCAACUGAGGCACCCAAAGCUCCGGUGACUAGUGAAAGGAAGAUUAGAGAUAACCUGGAAGAAAAAUUACCAAAACCCUGUAAAUUUAAAUCCCUAUUUCUUUCUUGUUCCUUUUGAUUUCAAUUGUCAUUGGUUGCCAUUUUUUUUCGUAGAAGGCCAGAAGAGACGACACAACUCGUGUUUAUCCAUAUUUUUAUAUCUGGUGAUAAAGCAUUAGUUUAGUAAUUAAAAACCAAAUAUAUCCUCAAUCCUUUUAACUUCUUUAUCACAUAUACAACAAAAUCUAACGUGUCAGGGUUUUUUUGUUGUUUUUUUUUUCUUCUCCUAUGACUAAUUACCAAAAAUAUGGAAUUAGAUUUGGCUAGAGCACUGGAAGCUCCUGAUGUGGAACAUCCAAAUGGAACAGCAGGACAUAAGAAUAAUGGAAUGAGUGUUCUUCAGCAACAUGUUUCUUUUUUUGACCAAGACAACAAUGGAAUUGUUUAUCCCUGGGAGACUUACAGAGGUAAAAUACUAAAAUUUUCCAAAUUUCAGAUUAAUAUGAUUUUUUUCUCUUUUAGACAAAUUUUAUAUUCACCAUGUGAAAACCAGGUUUGAGAGAUAUUGGCAUCAAUCCAAUUUCCUCUUCUAUUAUUGCAAUUCUCAUCAAUUUAGCAUUGAGUUAUGUCACUCUCCCUGUAAGUUUUUGUGAUAACUUGUAUUCUCUUUUGUAAAGUUCUCCUGUAAAUAUAUAUACGCACCCCACCAAAUAGCUGAUGUUGCAUUGGACAAUUUUCACAGGGAUGGCUGCCAAAUCUAUUAUUUCCCGUAUAUAUAGACAGGAUACACAAAGCUAAACAUGGUAGUGAUUCAGCAACAUUUGACACUGAGGGAAGGUU
RNAcentral lists this long non-coding RNA (1535 nucleotides) under Durio zibethinus. RNAcentral describes it as "long non-coding RNA (DZIB_LNC000679)". Lineage: Eukaryota; Viridiplantae; Streptophyta; Magnoliopsida; Malvales; Malvaceae. The record is from RNAcentral.